Molecule: ribosomal RNA, 253 nt
Filed under: uncultured bacterium
Lineage: Bacteria
Description: partial 16S ribosomal RNA
Rfam family: Bacterial small subunit ribosomal RNA
Source: RNAcentral
UACGUAGGUGGCAAGCGUUGUCCGGAUUUAUUGGGCGUAAAGGGAGCGCAGGCGGUGAUUUAAGUCUGAUGUGAAAGCCCACGGCUCAACCGUGGAAUGGCAUUGGAAACUGGGUCACUUGAGUGCAGAAGAGGUAAGUGGAAUUCCAUGUGUAGCGGUGAAAUGCGUAGAUAUAUGGAGGAACACCAGUGGCGAAGGCGACUUACUGGUCUGUGAUUGACGCUGAGGCUCGAAAGCGUGGGGAUCAAACAGG